This 445-nucleotide ribosomal RNA is filed under the name uncultured bacterium. Its description in RNAcentral is "SSU rRNA". It matches the Rfam family "Bacterial small subunit ribosomal RNA", at positions 26 to 517 of the family's 1533-position model. The record is from RNAcentral.
AGAGCGAACGCUGGCGGCAGGCUUAACACAUGCAAGUCGAGCGGGCGUAGCAAUACGUCAGCGGCAGACGGGUGAGUAACGCGUGGGAACGUACCUUUUGGUUCGGAACAACCCAGGGAAACUUGUGCUAAUACCGGAUAAGCCCUUACGGGGAAAGAUUUAUCGCCGAAAGAUUGGCCCGCGUCUGAUUAGCUAGUUGGUGAGGUAACGGCUCACCAAGGCGACGAUCAGUAGCUGGUCUGAGAGGAUGAUCAGCCACACUGGGACUGAGACACGGCCCAGACUCCUACGGGAGGCAGCAGUUAGGAAUCUUGCGCAAUGGGGGAAACCCUGACGCAGCCAUGCCGCGUGAAUGAUGAAGGUCUUAGGAUUGUAAAAUUCUUUCAGCGGGGACGAUAAUGACGGUACCGCAGAAGAAGCUCCGGCUAACUCGUGCCAGCAGCCG